This 253-nucleotide ribosomal RNA is filed under the name uncultured bacterium. Its description in RNAcentral is "partial 16S ribosomal RNA". It matches the Rfam family "Bacterial small subunit ribosomal RNA", at positions 524 to 776 of the family's 1533-position model. The record is from RNAcentral.
UACGUAGGGUGCGAGCGUUAAUCGGAAUUACUGGGCGUAAAGCGUGCGCAGGCGGUUCGCCAAGUCAGGUGUGAAAUCCCCGGGCUCAACCUGGGAAUGGCAUUGGAAACUGGCGAGCUAGAGUGUGGCAGAGGGGGGUGGAAUUCCGCGUGUAGCAGUGAAAUGCGUAGAGAUGCGGAGGAACACCGAUGGCGAAGGCAGCCCCCUGGGCUGACACUGACGCUCAGGCACGAAAGCGUGGGGAGCAAACAGG